RNAcentral lists this long non-coding RNA (1293 nucleotides) under Gossypium raimondii (Peruvian cotton). Its description in RNAcentral is "long non-coding RNA (GRAI_LNC007796)". Lineage: Eukaryota; Viridiplantae; Streptophyta; Magnoliopsida; Malvales; Malvaceae. The record is from RNAcentral.
AAAUAUCUAAAAAAACUAAGUUUAGAAGAAAUUCAUUGAAAAGAAAGUUUGUAGUGUUUAGCUAUCACCUAAGUUAGUACUAGCUUACUGGUAAUACUGAUGAACCUUUAGGUUAUUAUUGAAGUUAUCUAUGUGUUUAUCGUACUGCAUGCAUAGAUGUUAAAAUUUUUUGAGAGGAAGGAAACCUCCUGAUUCUGGGUUGUGUUUUACCAAUUCUUGCAUGCAUGAUAAGUUUUGAGAGAUUGAUCAUUUGAUAUGUAUAAUUAUCAUUCUUUUAGCUCAAGAAGCUAACGAGGGUCCCAACGGUAAAGGCAAAUGAUUUGCUGUGUAGAUUUGUACUAGAGUUUCUGGUGAGUUCCUUAUUACUUCCAUUUGUUGUAAAUUCCAUUGUUAUAUAAAUUAUGUAAGGUAAGUAAUCUUCCUCAGUAAUGUAUGAAUGGUUAAUGUGGGGGUAAUGGUCAUCCAGUGUAAUCAGUCUGAGUUCAGUUUGUUUGUGUUCAAUCUGUUUGUAUGGGUAAUGGUGUAUGCGUGAGAUAUGAUAUGUGGUGAUGGAGAAUGAGAGACAUAUUUGUGAAGCCUCUGGUAGGGUAGCUAUAUUGCAAACCGAACUGGAAAAUCACAAUAAAACAUGCUAUUCUGAAUGAAAUCGAUAUGAGGAGUUAAGAGGGAGUAUGUAUGUGAAUGAGACUGUAUGAUAUGCUUUGAAUUUGAAUUAUAGGUACGUGAUUGGCAUGAGGAUGAGAUGUAUUUGUCGUGUUAAAUUGGCGUACAGUAUCCGCCUAUGUGUUAUGUAAAUUGGCAUAUUAAGUCUAUCCGUGUUCUGUAAAUGUCAUUAGGUGUAAUAUGAUCAAUAUGUGAAACUCCUUCUGAAAGGUUUGGUAUUAUCAUAUGAAUUGGUAUGUAGGAUUUCUCUUUACUUUUGGGAACUCACUAAGUGCAUAUGAAGUUACUCUGUUAUCUUUUCCUUCUCAGGCUUACUGACUGAAGGAAGACUUUUUUGUUGAAGGGACUACGCCAGAGAACUGUUGCUAUUGUGAGUUGUCUGUUUGUCCUAUAUUAUGCAUGACUUCUUGGGGGUGGCGUGUAAAUGUACUUUUGAAAGUGAUUUGUAUAACGAACCACUAUUUUGACGAGACACUAUUUUUAUGAGAACCUUAUCAAAUUUCAAUGCUUGGAUUUUAAUUAUUAUUAUUAUAUCUCAUUCAAUGAAGUUUAUUUAUUUGAACUUAUACACCAAAUGGUUUGAACAUUAUUUUGUACUAUCAAUGAUGUUCAUUUAAACCUUUGCAAAAC